AUUGAACGCUGGCGGCAUGCUUUACACAUGCAAGUCGAACGGCAGCGGGGUAGUUCUUGCACUACUUCCGGCGCGUGGCGUACGGGUGAGUAAUAUAUCUGAACGUACCGAGUAAUGGGGGAUAACCAAUCGAAAGAUUGGCUAAUACCGCUUACGUCCUGAGGGAGAAGGCGGGGGAUCGCAAGACCUCGCGUUAUUCGAGCGGCCGAUAACUGAAUAGUUAGUUGGUGGGGUAAAGGCCUACCAAGGCUACGAUCAGUAUCGGGCCUGAGAGGGGGAUCCCCCACAUUGGGACUGAGCCACGGCCUAGUUUCCUAGGGGAGGCAGCAAUGGGGAAUUUUGGACAAGGGGGGCAAUCCUGAUCCAUCCAGGCGGCGUGGAGGAAGAGGGCCUUCGAGUUGUAUAGUACUUUUUUUAGGGAAGAAAAGGGAAGUGCUGAUACCACCAUUUGCUGGCGGUACAUAAUGAAUAAGCAGCGGCUAACUACGUG
This 490-nucleotide ribosomal RNA is filed under the name uncultured bacterium. Its description in RNAcentral is "partial 16S ribosomal RNA". It matches the Rfam family "Bacterial small subunit ribosomal RNA", at positions 30 to 507 of the family's 1533-position model. The record is from RNAcentral.